GCCAGUGUGGUGAAAUGGUAGACACGCCGGAUUCAAAAUCCGGUGGCGCAAGUCGUGGCGGUUCGAGUCCGCCCACUGGUACCA
This 84-nucleotide transfer RNA is filed under the name Sulfuricurvum sp. 17-40-25. RNAcentral's name for it is "tRNA-Leu". It matches the Rfam family "tRNA". From Rfam's summary of the family: Transfer RNA (tRNA) molecules are approximately 80 nucleotides in length. The record is from RNAcentral. Lineage: Bacteria; Pseudomonadati; Campylobacterota; Epsilonproteobacteria; Campylobacterales; Sulfurimonadaceae. RNAcentral also lists the same sequence under 3 other names.